Molecule: ribosomal RNA, 117 nt
Filed under: Esox lucius (northern pike)
Lineage: Eukaryota; Metazoa; Chordata; Actinopteri; Esociformes; Esocidae
Source: RNAcentral
GCUUACGGCCACACCUCCCUGAGCACGCCCGAUCUCGUCUGAUCUCGGAAGCUAAGCAGGUCCGGCCCGGUUAGUACUUGGAUGGAGACCGCCUGGGAAUACCAGGUGCUGUAAGCC